GGGUCAGUAGGUUGGUCGUGCCACCGGUACGUACUGGUCUCACUGAUUCCUCCUUCCCGAAGAACCGUAAUGCCAUUAAUUUGGUGUUGCGGGGAAACAGGACUGUUACUUUGAAAAAAUUAGAGUGUUUAGAGCAAGCUAACGCUUGAAUACAUUAGCAUGGAAUAAUGAAAUAGGACGUUCGAUCCUAUUUUGUUGGUUUCUAGGAUUGACGUA
This 216-nucleotide ribosomal RNA is filed under the name Glomeromycotina sp. RNAcentral's name for it is "partial small subunit ribosomal RNA". The stretch from base 75 to 216 matches the Rfam family "Eukaryotic small subunit ribosomal RNA", at positions 721 to 864 of the family's 1831-position model. The record is from RNAcentral. Lineage: Eukaryota; Fungi; Glomeromycota.